This 404-nucleotide ribosomal RNA is filed under the name Fusobacteriota bacterium. RNAcentral's name for it is "Fusobacteria bacterium partial 16S ribosomal RNA". It matches the Rfam family "Bacterial small subunit ribosomal RNA", at positions 355 to 776 of the family's 1533-position model. Lineage: Bacteria; Fusobacteriati; Fusobacteriota. The record is from RNAcentral.
UGGGGAAUAUUGCACAAUGGGCGAAAGCCUGAUGCAGCGACGCCGCGUGAGUGAAGAAGUAUUUCGGUAUGUAAAGCUCUAUCAGCAGGGAAGAAAAUGACGGUACCUGACUAAGAAGCCCCGGCUAACUACGUGCCAGCAGCCGCGGUAAUACGUAGGGGGCAAGCGUUAUCCGGAUUUACUGGGUGUAAAGGGAGCGUAGACGGCGAAGCAAGUCUGAAGUGAAAACCCAGGGCUCAACCCUGGGACUGCUUUUGAAACUGUUUUGCUAGAGUGUCGGAGAGGUAAGUGGAAUUCCUAGUGUAGCGGUGAAAUGCGUAGAUAUUAGGAGGAACACCAGUGGCGAAGGCGGCUUACUGGACGAUAACUGACGUUGAGGCUCGAAAGCGUGGGGAGCAAACAGG